This 274-nucleotide ribosomal RNA is filed under the name uncultured bacterium. Its description in RNAcentral is "partial 16S ribosomal RNA". It matches the Rfam family "Bacterial small subunit ribosomal RNA", at positions 336 to 627 of the family's 1533-position model. The record is from RNAcentral.
UUCCUACGGGGGGCAGCAGUGGGGAAUAUUGCACAAUGGGGGAAACCCUGAUGCAGCGACGCCGCGUGAAGGAAGAAGUAUUUCGGUAUGUAAACUUCUAUCAGCAGGGAAGAAAAUGACGGUACCUGACUAAGAAGCCCCGGCUAACUACGUGCCAGCAGCCGCGGUAAUACGUAGGGGGCAAGCGUUAUCCGGAUUUACUGGGUGUAAAGGGAGCGUAGGCGGCACGGCAAGCCUGAUGUGAAAGCCCGCGGCCCAACCGCGGGACUGCAUU